Long non-coding RNA from Leopardus geoffroyi (Geoffroy's cat), 398 nucleotides. RefSeq lists it as uncharacterized. The record is from RefSeq and is a predicted model, not a curated record. Lineage: Eukaryota; Metazoa; Chordata; Mammalia; Carnivora; Felidae. The transcript has 3 exons.
GAAGGAAGGAAGGAAGGAGGGGGGAAAAGAAACAAGAGAAAAAAGCUCUUGGAUUAGUUUGUUAGUGCUGCCGUCACAAAGGAUACGUGGCCAGUACUCCUUAAGACCGCCAUGGUCAUGCAAAACACAGAAAAAUUGACAAAGUAUCACAGACCAGAGGAGACUGAGGAAACAAGUCAACAUGGUACCCUACACUGGAUCCUGGAACAGCAAUGGAAAAAAAAUCAGAGAAAUCCAAAUCCAGUCUGAAGUUUACUGAACAGUAAUAUGCCAGUGUGACUUGCUUAGUUUAGAAAAUUUACUGUGGUAAUGUAACUGGGUGAGAAGUAUGCAAAUUCCUUGUACUGCCUUUGCAAAUUUUCUGUACAAAAGUCCAUAAAUAAAAACAAAAAAGUUUA